ACAGCAGCCGCCGCGGUAAUACAGAGGGUGCGAGCGUUAAUCGGAUUUACUGGGCGUAAAGCGUGCGUAGGCGGCUUCUUAAGUCGGAUGUGAAAUCCCUGAGCUUAACUUAGGAAUUGCAUUCGAUACUGGGAAGCUAGAGUAUGGGAGAGGAUGGUAGAAUUCCAGGUGUAGCGGUGAAAUGCGUAGAGAUCUGGAGGAAUACCGAUGGCGAAGGCAGCCAUCUGGCCUAAUACUGACGCUGAGGUACGAAAGCAUGGGGAGCAAACAGGAUUAGAGACCCGCGUAGUCCCUGUCUCUUAUAC
RNAcentral lists this ribosomal RNA (305 nucleotides) under uncultured bacterium. RNAcentral's name for it is "partial 16S ribosomal RNA". It matches the Rfam family "Bacterial small subunit ribosomal RNA", at positions 508 to 807 of the family's 1533-position model. The record is from RNAcentral.